UACAGAGGUCCCGAGCGUUGUUCGGAUUCAUUGGGCGUAAAGGGUGCGUAGGCGGCGGGGCAAGUCUGAUGUGAAAUCCCGGGGCUCAACUCCGGAACUGCAUUGGAUACUGCCUUGCUUGAGUACUGGAGAGGGAACUGGAAUUUACGGUGUAGCAGUGAAAUGCGUAGAGAUCGUAAGGAAGGCCAGUGGCGAAGGCGAGUUCCUGGACAGUUACUGACGCUGAGGCACGAAGGCCAGGGGAGCAAACGGG
This 253-nucleotide ribosomal RNA is filed under the name uncultured bacterium. RNAcentral describes it as "partial 16S ribosomal RNA". It matches the Rfam family "Bacterial small subunit ribosomal RNA", at positions 524 to 776 of the family's 1533-position model. The record is from RNAcentral.